CCCUUAGAUGGUCUGGGCGGCACGCGCGCUACAAUGAUGCAUUCAAAAAGUCUUCUGACCUUAGAAGGUUGGGUAUUCUCCAAAGUGCAUCGUGAUGGGAAUAGUUUAUUGCAAUUUUUAAUCUUGAACGAGGAAUUCCUAGUAAGUACAGGUCAUCAACUUGUGUUGAUUACGUCCCUGCCCUUUGUACACACCGCCCGUCGCUCCUACUGAUUGAAUGCUCAGGUGAGCCAUUCGGACUUUCAUCAUGCUGGUUUCCAGUUUUGAUGAAGGAAAGUCUUGCGAACCUUAUCAUUUAGAGGAAGGAGAAGUCGUAACA
Molecule: ribosomal RNA, 319 nt
Filed under: uncultured eukaryote
Lineage: Eukaryota
Description: partial 18S ribosomal RNA
Rfam family: Eukaryotic small subunit ribosomal RNA
Source: RNAcentral